UCCGGUGGCGUUGGCGUUUGGGAACCACCCGUUCCCUUUCCGAACACGGAAGUGAAACCAAACAGCGCCGAUGGUACUUGGGGGGCAACCCCCUGGGAGAGUAGGUCACCGCCGGAC
This 117-nucleotide ribosomal RNA is filed under the name Acidimicrobiia bacterium. The record is from RNAcentral. Lineage: Bacteria; Bacillati; Actinomycetota; Acidimicrobiia. RNAcentral also lists the same sequence under 1 other name.